Molecule: non-coding RNA, 28 nt
Filed under: Bombyx mori (domestic silkworm)
Lineage: Eukaryota; Metazoa; Arthropoda; Insecta; Lepidoptera; Bombycidae
Source: RNAcentral
UAAGUUGAUUACAAAGAAACUUGAAUGA